CUCCUCUCAGGAUGGCACCUGGAGAGUUUCCAGUACUUUACCAGUCUCAGCUACUACAGGGAGAGUUAAGCAGAGGCCUAUCCAUUCCAUUCCUAUCUUGGCUGGUGGCUAGCGAGUGGAAGGGAAUCUGCUACAGGU
Ornithorhynchus anatinus (platypus) is the source of this 138-nucleotide small nucleolar RNA. NCBI's taxonomy places the organism in Eukaryota, Metazoa, Chordata, Mammalia, Monotremata, Ornithorhynchidae. The record is from RefSeq and is a predicted model, not a curated record.